This 314-nucleotide ribosomal RNA is filed under the name uncultured bacterium. Its description in RNAcentral is "bacterial SSU rRNA". It matches the Rfam family "Bacterial small subunit ribosomal RNA", at positions 28 to 334 of the family's 1533-position model. The record is from RNAcentral.
GAUGAACGCUAGCUACAGGCUUAACACAUGCAAGUCGAGGGGCAGCAUGGGCUUAGCUUGCUAAGCCCGAUGGCGACCGGCGCACGGGUGAGUAACACGUAUCCAACCUUCCGGUAACUCUGGGAUAAGCCUGGGAAACUAGGUCUAAUACCGGAUAGGAGCGCCUACCGCAUGGUGGGUGUUGGAAAGAUUUAUCGGUUUUGGAUGGACUCGCGGCCUAUCAGCUUGUUGGUGAGGUAAUGGCUCACCAAGGCGACGACGGGUAGCCGGCCUGAGAGGGUGACCGGCCACACUGGGACUGAGACACGGCCCAG